UAGAGCGGCGGACGGGUGAGUAACGCGUAGGAAUCUACCUGGUAGUGGGGGACAACUUGGGGAAACUCAAGCUAAUACCGCAUACGCCCUAAGGGGGAAAGCGGGGGAUCUUCGGACCUCGCGCUAUUGGAUGAGCCUGCGUAGGAUUAGCUUGUUGGUGAGGUAAAGGCUCACCAAGGCGACGAUCCUUAGCUGGUCUGAGAGGAUGAUCAGCCACACCGGGACUGAGACACGGUCCAGACUCC
Molecule: ribosomal RNA, 245 nt
Filed under: uncultured bacterium
Lineage: Bacteria
Description: partial 16S ribosomal RNA
Rfam family: Bacterial small subunit ribosomal RNA
Source: RNAcentral